GGGAUUUUAGUUGGGACUUAAAAGAAACCAGAGAUAGCAGGGGAAGUUGAAGAGGGAGAGCAUGCCAAGCAUUAGAGACAGCCAGGAGCUCCUCGAAUAGCAAGGAGUCACUGGAUCAGUCUGUGUGUUGAGAAGUAAGGUGUUAAGAAGACAGAAAAGAGACGAGGAGGCAAGUUCAUAAAGGGCUUUGAAUGCCAACAGAGCAUUUUGUAUUUGAUCACGAAGGCAAUAAGAGCCUCCGGAGUUGAUUGAGCUUCAAGGGCAGCUAGGUGGCGCAGUGGAUACAGUAUGGGUCCUGGAGUCCUUCCUGCACUCAAAUCUGCCUUCAGAUACUAGCUGUGUGACCCUGGAUGCUAGUUGGCCAGGAUGCCAUCUGAUCACAAGAGGAAUACAUGCAAGAGCAGACAUUGAACAUGAAGUCAAGGUAUGGCCGAGGGAAUGGCUUUUGACAAAUGUUGAGGUUGGUUUCUCUUGGUUGAAUUUUUUCCCACAAUAUUGUACAGAAGGCUGGAAGUUUUCAUCCUACUCAUCUCAUUCUACACCUAGCUUCUAUGCCCUUUCCUAUUUGCCUAAUGCUAUGGACGUCUCAAUCCCAUGCAUCUGUGUGACUCAGUUUCCUCCAAUAUGUUCAGUGGCAUGGACGUAUAUUCCAUCCACCUAUUUU
Dromiciops gliroides (monito del monte) is the source of this 664-nucleotide long non-coding RNA. RefSeq lists it as uncharacterized. The transcript has 3 exons. Lineage: Eukaryota; Metazoa; Chordata; Mammalia; Microbiotheria; Microbiotheriidae. The record is from RefSeq and is a predicted model, not a curated record.